CCUACGGGAGGCAGCAGUGAGGAAUAUUGGUCAAUGGCCGGAAGGCUGAACCAGCCAUGCCGCGUGAAGGUCAGUGCCCUAUGGGCGUUAAACUUCUUUUGUGCGGGAGCAAUAAUGGUCACGUGUGGCCAGACGAGAGUACCGUACGAAUAAGCAUCGGCUAACUCCGUGCCAGCAGCCGCGGUAAUACGGGGGAUGCAAGCGUUAUCCGGAUUUAUUGGGGUUAAAGGGUGCGUAGGCUGUGAGGUAAGUCAGCGGUGAAAUGCCCCCGCUCAACGGGGUGAAGUGCCAUUGAUACUGCCUUGCUGGAAUGCGGAUGCCGUGGGAGGAAUGUGUGGUGUAGCGGUGAAAUGCAUAGAUAUCACACAGAACACCGAUUGCGAAGGCAUCUCACGAAUCCGCGAUUGACGCUGAUGCACGAAAGCGUGGGUAUCAAACAGGAUUAGAUAUCCCUGUAGUC
RNAcentral lists this ribosomal RNA (460 nucleotides) under uncultured bacterium. RNAcentral describes it as "partial 16S ribosomal RNA". It matches the Rfam family "Bacterial small subunit ribosomal RNA", at positions 338 to 795 of the family's 1533-position model. The record is from RNAcentral.